This 429-nucleotide ribosomal RNA is filed under the name uncultured Acidobacterium sp. RNAcentral's name for it is "bacterial SSU rRNA". It matches the Rfam family "Bacterial small subunit ribosomal RNA", at positions 958 to 1385 of the family's 1533-position model. Lineage: Bacteria; Pseudomonadati; Acidobacteriota; Terriglobia; Terriglobales; Acidobacteriaceae. The record is from RNAcentral.
AACGCGAAGAACCUUACCUGGGCUCGAAAUGCAGGAGACCGGGGUAGAAAUAUCCCUUCCUCGCAAGAGGCUGCUGUAUAGGUGCUGCAUGGCUGUCGUCAGCUCGUGUCGUGAGAUGUUGGGUUAAGUCCCGCAACGAGCGCAACCCUCAUCCCUAGUUGCCACCGGGUAAUGCCGAGCACUCUAGUGAAACCGCCCCGGAUAACGGGGAGGAAGGUGGGGAUGACGUCAAGUCCUCAUGGCCUUUAUGUCCAGGGCUACACACGUGCUACAAUGGUCGGUACAAACCGUCGCAAAGCUGCAAAGUGGAGCUAAUCGGAAAAAGCCGGCCUCAGUUCGGAUUGGAGUCUGCAACUCGACUCCAUGAAGCUGGAAUCGCUAGUAAUCGCAGAUCAGAACGCUGCGGUGAAUACGUUCCCGGGCCUUGUA